CCUACGGGAGGCAGCAGUGAGGAAUAUUGGUCAAUGGACGAGAGUCUGAACCAGCCAAGUAGCGUGAAGGAUGACUGCCCUAUGGGUUGUAAACUUCUUUUAUAUGGGAAUAAAAUGUUCCACGUGUGGGAUUUUGUAUGUACCAUAUGAAUAAGGAUCGGCUAACUCCGUGCCAGCAGCCGCGGUAAUACGGAGGAUCCGAGCGUUAUCCGGAUUUAUUGGGUUUAAAGGGGGCGUAGGUGGAUUGUUAAGUCAGUUGUGCAAGUUUGCGGCUCAACCGUAAAAUUGCAGUUGAAACUGGGAGUCUGGAGUACAGGAGAGGUGGGCGGAAUUCGUGGUGUAGCGGUGAAAUGCUUAGAUAUCACGAAGAACUCCGAUUGCGAAGGCAGCUCACUGGACUGCAACUGACACUGAGGCUCGAAAGUGUGGGGAGCAAACAGGAUUAGAUACCACUGUAGUC
RNAcentral lists this ribosomal RNA (460 nucleotides) under uncultured bacterium. RNAcentral describes it as "partial 16S ribosomal RNA". It matches the Rfam family "Bacterial small subunit ribosomal RNA", at positions 338 to 795 of the family's 1533-position model. The record is from RNAcentral.